This is a non-coding RNA of Silurus meridionalis, 85 nucleotides long. The record is from the annotation of a RefSeq genome assembly. NCBI's taxonomy places the organism in Eukaryota, Metazoa, Chordata, Actinopteri, Siluriformes, Siluridae.
GUAGUAUUUGUGGCCGAGUGGUUAAGGCGAUGGACUAGCAAUCUAUUGGGGUCUCCCCAUGCGGGUUCGAUUCCUGCCGACUGCG